RNAcentral lists this unclassified non-coding RNA (345 nucleotides) under Hevea brasiliensis (rubber tree). The record is from RNAcentral. Lineage: Eukaryota; Viridiplantae; Streptophyta; Magnoliopsida; Malpighiales; Euphorbiaceae.
AAACGAGCGUCGCCAGGCAGCGAUUGGCACUCUGAUUGAUGAUGCGCUCAAGAACGGCGCCAAGGCUCUGCCGGGCGGCAAGCGCAGCCAGAAUAAGGGUUACUUCUUCGAACCGACAGUGCUCGUUGAUGUGCCGAAGUCUGCGCGGGCCAUGAACGAAGAGCCGUUUGGCCCCGUUGCUCUGAUGUCUCGCUUCAAGGAUUUCGAUGAAGUGAUGACGGAAGCCAACCGUCUGCCAUAUGGCCUUGCCUCCUACGCCUAUACGCGUUCCGUCAAGACCUCGACCGCACUUGCUACCGGCAUCGAAAGCGGGAUGCUGUCGAUCAAUCAUUAUGGGCUGGCAUU